Non-coding RNA from Camellia sinensis, 5064 nucleotides. NCBI's taxonomy places the organism in Eukaryota, Viridiplantae, Streptophyta, Magnoliopsida, Ericales, Theaceae. The record is from RefSeq and is a predicted model, not a curated record.
UUAUCAUUGAAGAAUAAAUUCACUUAUAUUGCUAGAAUUCCUUGGAAAUGGAUAUUGUAUUUCAUGAGUAACUGAUCAAAAUAAUUCUAUUGACACCGCUUUUACAGGUUCCAACUAGUAUGAUGUUAGAAUUGUAUGAUGCAUGAUUCGAUUCAUACAAUUUAAUAUGAGUUUCAACCAAAAUAAUUUGAAUUGUGUUGUUUGAAAAUUGGGUGUGCUGUUGAAUUGAGAAUUGAGUAGUUCAUAGGUUUUUGUUUACAUAAUGUAUUGGAAUGACGCCUUUUUCAACUACUCUAUGAUGAAACAAAAAUAGGGCAAUUGGUUAUACUGAUAUACGUGGCGUUAUAUAUAUAUGUAAUAUAUAAUUUAUUUAUAUUGAUCCUGUGAAGUAUUUGAUUGCAAUUGCUAUAGUGUUCUAACAUAUGUGCGAGGUUUGGAAAUUCCUUUACAAUAAUUUGGGUUAUAUUUCAUGAUAAGCAUCCGGUGGAUCUUGUAUGAGAAGGGAAAAAGAAAUGGAAGGAAAAGUGGGAAAAAAAAACUUUGUUAAUAGUUUCAUGUGGAAAAAAACAUGCAAAGAGUGAACUGCUAAUACAUGUAUUAUCUUAUGCAGUUUUAUCUCUUCUUUUGUGGAGAUUUUGUUGGAAUUUUGUGUUUCAUUUGUUGUGGCGCGUUAUAGAAACCAAAAACACCCUUUUCGUAGUUUUUAGAUAAUUAGCGAUCAACGAUUCCAACUUCCUUUACUCCAUUCAAAAAGUUGUUAAAAAUAAUUGAUCAAAAUUUCCAAUGAUCCGGUUUGUGCAUGUUAUUCAAAAUAAUGUUACUUUUAGGAGUUGUUAGUUUUUCGUUUGUAUUUUUUUCCCUUUAUGUUUUUGGCGCUAACCCUUGCAGGCAAUGGCACAUAUAGACAUGGUUAAUCAUUUAAGGUAAUCUCCUUAACUUUUUGAUUUUAUUUUUUACAUUCAGGACAAUGCAUUGUUUAGUUUGGGGGGAGAAAAUACUUAUUUUGAGAAGAAUUUAUAUAUUUGCUUGCAGCUAUGAGUUAGUUAUUUUGUUAAAAAAAAAAUAAAAAUUUAGUGCUCAUGGUAUUCUUUUGUUCUAUACAUUGAGUGAUUGGGCAUACUUGUGGUAUUUAAUUACUUUAACUCGAGAAUUGUUUUGAAGUUUGAUAUGCUAGCUACUUUGUUAAAGUAUUCCGUGUGUUCAUAUUUGGAAAUCAUUGCACUGCACUUCGGCCACAUGAAUAUGAUUUUUAGUUGAUAAGUGGGUAUGACUUGAAAAUCUUGAGGAAUGAUAGUGGAGACUUUUAACCCUGUGAGUUUUGUGCCAAUCGUUUAUUGGAGGGUCAUUAUACAUCUACUCUUAAUUUUUCUUUGGAAGCGCAUUAAUUUGUUGUUUAGUCUCAUUAUUUUUUCAUUUUUGGUUGAAUGCUGAGAACAAAUCAAUUUGUUAUCACACUUUUUACUCCCUCGAGGAUCAUGCAUCGUUUAGGUUGGGGGGAGAAAAUACUUAUUUUGGGAAGAAUUUAUAUGUUUGCUUGCUACUAUGAGUUAGUUGUUUUGUUUAAAAAAAGAAAAAAGGUGUGCAUGGUAAUUUAUUGUUCUAUGCAUUGAGUGAUUUGGCAUACUAGUAGUAUUUUAUUGCUUUAACUUGAGAAAUUGUGUUGAAGUUUGAUAUGCUAGCUACUUUGUUAAAGUAUUUCAUGUGUUCGUAUUUGGAAAUAAUUGCACUGCACUUUAGCCACAUGAAUAUGAUUUUUAGUUGAUAAGUGGAUAUGACUUGAAAAUCUUGAAGAAUGAUAGUGGAGACUUUUAACCCUGUGAGUUUUGUGCCAAUCAUUUAUUGGAGGGUUACUAUACAUCUACUCUUAAUUUUCUUUGGAAGGACAUUAAUUUGUUGUUUAGUCUCAUUAUUUCUUCAUUUUGGUUGAAUGCUGAGAAUAAAUCAAUUUGUUAUGACACUUUUAUUCCCUUGAGAUCAUGAAAGUUGAAGGACCAUACUAAUUCUUGAGAGAUGAUUUUAGGCCAUCUUUGUUUCUUUGAGCCUUUUAUUUAUUUUUCUUUCUUUUAUUAUUAAUUCAUGAACCAUUAGAAACCAAUUUGAGCCUUUAUUUUAGCCUUUCUUUGUUUAACCCCACAACCCAUACUUUCUUUUUACUUUUGUGGAUAUGAUGGGAUUAUUUGAGUUUGACAAUGGCAAAUUUGUUUGAAAAAAAAAGAAAAAAGAAAAAAAAAGGUGAAAAGCUGAAAAAAAUAAGAAGAAAUAAAUUGUGUUCAACUAAGGGAAAAAAAAAAACAAAAAGAAAAAAAAAAAAGCAGGAGGAAGUUGAAAAAAACAAAAAGAAAAGAAAUAGAAAGAGCAAGGCAUUUGGAAUAAUGCUCUAAUUGUGUUUAUUUUUAUGCCAAUUGUCUCUCAGACGUCCUUUUUUUUAUUCACCUUUGGCUUUUUAUUAUUUUUUCGUAAUUCCUCAACCCAAGCUUUACAACCAAAUAAAAGUCCUAUUUGAUCUUGAGUGUGGUAUAGUUUACAAGUGGACAUGAUGGGUUGGGGUGAUGGUGUGGUAAUUUUAAUUCUUAGUAUUUGAUAUUCCAUUCAUGAGACUAUUUAUUUAUUCUUUCAUUAUAGCGUUUUUCCAAAAAAUUAGUAUGCGGGAUAUUUUGCCUUUGAUUUACAUUAUUCUACUUGCAUAUAUUGAGAGUAAUUUUUACACCAUAUUCUGAGUGAUUUAUUUGUUGAGUGCAAUAACUGGUGAGAUUUGAGUCGAAGCAUGUUUCAGAAAGAGAUUUGGGUUAUAUUUCACUUUAAGGCUAAGGUUGUGUAUGUGUUGGCUAAACUUUUUCACACACGCCAAAUUCUGAAUGUCAUGAGAUAUCUUUACUUGCUGCUAGUGUCUUGAACUUUGAUUGGUUGUCUUGUUAAGGUUGUGAAAUUCAUGACUUGUUCUUGAACUUUAGCAUGAGAACGAAAGAAAUCCUUCGAGUAAAGAAAAUUUUUGACGUUUGUGGGUAACACUUCUAGAAAUUUUAUUUCUCAGUAUUUGAUAUUCCAUUCAUGAGACUAUUUAUUUAUUCUUUCAUGUUAGCGUUUUUCAAAAAAAUUAGUAUGCGGGAUAUUUUGCCUUUGAUUUACAUUGUUCUACUCGCAUAUAUUGAGAGCAAUUUUUGCACCAUAUUCCGAGUGAUUUAUUUGUUGAGUGCAAUAACUGGUGAGAUUUGAGUCGAAGCAUGUUUCAGAAAGAGAUUUGGGUUAUAUUUCACUUUAAGGCUAAGGUUGUGUCUGUGUUGGUUGAACUUUUUUCACACACUCCAAAUUUUGAAUGUCAUGCAAUAUCUUUACUUGCUGCUAGUCUUUUGAACUUUGAUUGAUUAUCUUGUUAAGGUUGUGAAAUUCAUGACUGGUUCUUUAACCUUGGCAUGAGAAUGAAAGAAGUCGUUUUAGUAAAGAAAUUUUUGGAUAUUUGUGGGUAACAUCUUUGGAAACACGAGACUUUAACUCGUCCAUGAGGGCUAAUCUAUUGGAUUAAGGGCUUGUUGCAUGUGCUAAAUUCAAUCGUGAUUUAUUGCGGAAGUGGUUUAGAGUAGUUGCUUUUAUUUUUCUUUUUGAUUUUAUUUUAGUCGCCUUAAUUGCUAGGUUCUAAAAUUAAAGCUGGUUGGGAGGUGUGACGAAUGCUUAAAAUUACGUAGUUAUUCUAGGAAUUUUGGAUAUUAUAUUCAUUCUCUCAAUUUAUAUUUAAUUGUGAUUUAAUGUAUUUAAUUUAAAUUUUUAGAAAAACUACAUUUGAGCCAUCAACAAUAUAAAUUGCUCAACCAGGCCCAUAAGACUCGGUUUGCUUUGAAAUCAUCUCAUAGCAUCCACAAAACUUCUCUCAAAGAUAAUAGCAAGAACACUAGAUCUGACUGUAAUGUUGUCAAGGGUGCUUGGGCUGCUCGAAUUCAGCGUAACAAGAUGUUUUACUCAGGAAAUUCGUUUAUUUUUUCUUUAUUUUGGAGAGGUGGUUCUACAUGAUGCUGAUCCCAGUAGGAGGACCUUCAUUCAUUCAUGUUUGAGCCGUGAAUUUUUAGACCCUGUUGUUGCUGCUACACUGACUUUCGAAUUCUUAACAAGAGAAAACUUUUAACUAAUUUUCCUACAUUACUCCCUUAGUUUUUCCCAUUAAUGCUAAAGCUCAUGAAAUGUAGAGAAAUAAGAAAAAUCGUUUCUAAGUGUGCUUCUGGCGUUGAUGUCUCUUGGAUGAUUUGUUCAGCUUAUUUCCAUCUCUCGUUGACUUACCAAGGAGUGGGUGGAAUUAUUGAAUUGGCCCCAGGUUACUUUCCUGCCGUAUACAACAGUAUUAAGAAAGCAGGAGGGCUUUGUAUUGCCGAUAAGGUUCAAUCUAGGUUUGCUCACACUGGGAGCCAUUUUUGGGGAUUUGAGACCCAAGGCAUUGUGCCUGACAUAGUGACAAUGGCAAAGGUGAACAAGCUUCAUGAAGUGUGUUGAAGAUUUCAGAGCUAGGGUUUAUCUGCAACUUAACAAGAUUUUUCAAUGCUCAGUGGCUUCGAUUUCUCAAUCUCAAACCUCUAGUGGUCUUCUUUUACUGGUAUUGAUUUCUCUAUCCAUUGAUUGCUUUAUGAUCACACACCCUCAUCAAACUCUUAAUCACCACUGUCACUAUCUCUCCUCUCUCUCUUGAUGUGUAUUUUGCUAUAGCAUUGCAUGAUGUCAAUAUUUUCACUUUGACUCUAUUCUUGAUGCAUGUCACAAUAUUUUCACUCUGUAUAGUUAUUUUGAAAUUCAUGUUCUGUUUUAGCUUUAAUAUGUGUUUCAGCUUUAAUAUGUGCAUUGGUUCCCCUACUUACAGUGAAAACUUCUACUCUAUUUAUAGACCAAAUUUUCUCUUAUGAGGUAAAAAAGUUAUUUUAGUAGAAUUGAGACAAGUUUUGUUUUGGUAUUACUCUGAGGCUUCUAUUGGAAAAGCUUGAAAAUCAAAGCAUUCAAUGUAUAUUGUGUCAUGGCAGGCUGCAACUUGCCUACAUCUUUGCUGGUGGAUGUACAAAUAAUUUUCCAUCACUACCGCCAUAAAUUUUA